This 333-nucleotide long non-coding RNA is filed under the name Homo sapiens (human). RNAcentral describes it as "lncRNA regulator of hepatic lineages 1 (LNC-RHL1)". The record is from RNAcentral. Lineage: Eukaryota; Metazoa; Chordata; Mammalia; Primates; Hominidae.
GGCAGGAUCAAAAGCAGCUCCUGCAUGGGGACGCCGUGUCCUCCUGCUGUUAUCAUAGUAUGCCCUGUGCUCCCAGGAGGAGGCUGAGAUCAUAAAGGGCAUUGUGGCACCUACCUUGAUUUCUCUUGGAUCACUCAUUCUGAGGGAAGAUAGCUGCCAUGUUGGGAGGACGUGCAAGCAGCCCUGUGAAGAGGUCAACACAGGGGGGAACUGAAGCCCCUUCCAAACAGCUAGCACCAACUUGCCAGCCAUGUAAAGUGAUUCACCUUGGAAACAGAUCCUCCAGCCUCAGCCAAGCCUUCAGAUGCAACCUCAUGACAGACUCUGAACCAG